Molecule: ribosomal RNA, 610 nt
Filed under: Thalassospira sp.
Lineage: Bacteria; Pseudomonadati; Pseudomonadota; Alphaproteobacteria; Rhodospirillales; Thalassospiraceae
Description: bacterial SSU rRNA
Rfam family: Bacterial small subunit ribosomal RNA
Source: RNAcentral
AUGGGCGGCCUACACAUGCAAGUCGGACGAGAAGGUUCCUUCGGGAACUGGAGAGUGGCGCACGGGUGAGUAACGCGUGGGGACCUACCUCUUAGUGGGGGAUAACGGUUGGAAACGACCGCUAAUACCGCAUACGCCCUUCGGGGGAAAGAUUUAUCGCUAAGAGAUGGACCCGCGUUGGAUUAGAUAGUUGGUGAGGUAAUGGCUCACCAAGUCAGCGAUCCAUAGCUGGUUUGAGAGGAUGAUCAGCCACACUGGGACUGAGACACGGCCCAGACUCCUACGGGAGGCAGCAGUGGGGAAUAUUGGACAAUGGGGGCAACCCUGAUCCAGCCAUGCCGCGUGAGUGAAGAAGGCCUUCGGGUUGUAAAGCUCUUUCAGAUGCGAAGAUGAUGACGGUAACAUCAGAAGAAGCCCCGGCUAAUUUCGUGCCAGCAGCCGCGGUAAUACGAAAGGGGCUAGCGUUGUUCGGAUUUACUGGGCGUAAAGGGCACGCAGGCGGUCUUGCCAGUCAGGGGUGAAAGCCCGGGGCUCAACCCCGGAACUGCCUCUGAUACUGCAAGACUAGAGACUAGGAGAGGGUGGUGGAAUUCCCAGUGUAGAGGUGAAA